AUCAUAUCGGUGUUAGAUCUCGAUAAAUUUAGAAUUUAUAGUUGGCAAUUUGUCAUAUGGUU
This 62-nucleotide transfer RNA is filed under the name Cyphocaris challengeri. RNAcentral describes it as "tRNA-Leu". The record is from RNAcentral. Lineage: Eukaryota; Metazoa; Arthropoda; Malacostraca; Amphipoda; Cyphocarididae.